CUGAAUUAUUUGCCUUGCGUCUGUUAGUUGUACUUUAGCCAGGGGAACAAUUCUAGCCAUGUAAAUUGUAUAAACAGUUUCUUCCUUCAGUAUUCUUUCCAUUUUACGAGGUUUUGUCAAUGAAAAUAAGAUAUAGCACGAAUCUUCAAAACGGGCUCAAUCAAAACACUAGGUCCGCAGAUGCGUGAAAACCCGGUCAAUGUUUACGGAUAAAAUUCACCGACUUUCUUUCACUCUGAGUCGGUGGAUCGGUUCCUUUGUUGGGAAAUAGAUGCAUGGGUAUUCCUUCAGGCUGUUCAGAAUUCGUGCAAUAAUCUAAGUUAGAACUGCCAGAAACACGGUCUUCGUCUCCGCGUUUGUUGGUUUUACUAUAAUUUUAAUACGCCAUGAUGAAAUCGUGUUCAUCUUAUGACGUCACAUGGCAUCAACAUGGCCGAUCAAAAGUUCGCACAGGAAGUGCCAAAAAUGGCCGUUUGGAAGGCUAUAAAAUCGGUUUGAAUUAACCAAUUUCAAUUCUGUUUGUGGUAAAAAGCUGAACAGUACUUUGAUGUAUAGACCGUCCCAGAACAUGGAAAACUGUGUGCAGUAAAUGUGGUUCUUUACAUACAAACUGUUGACGUUUAUGAUGUAAUUAUAAUUGUUGUAAGUCAGUGGUUAUGUAUGUAUUCUUGUAAUACCUAUAAGUAAAUAUGUAAUGUAAGUUUUUGGUGGGACUUAAUUAGGGACUCACGUCCUGUUGUCCUUACCAUUAGUCAUUUGAUUGUAAAGUUAAUAAAAAUUCAUUAUAUCCUCGG
Paramuricea clavata is the source of this 794-nucleotide non-coding RNA. Lineage: Eukaryota; Metazoa; Cnidaria; Anthozoa; Malacalcyonacea; Plexauridae. The record is from the annotation of a GenBank genome assembly.